RNAcentral lists this transfer RNA (89 nucleotides) under Chitinophagaceae bacterium. RNAcentral describes it as "tRNA-Ser". It matches the Rfam family "tRNA". Rfam says of the family: Transfer RNA (tRNA) molecules are approximately 80 nucleotides in length. Their secondary structure includes four short double-helical elements and three loops (D, anti-codon, and T loops). RNAcentral also lists the same sequence under 1 other name. The record is from RNAcentral. Lineage: Bacteria; Pseudomonadati; Bacteroidota; Chitinophagia; Chitinophagales; Chitinophagaceae.
GGUGAGAUGGAUGAGUGGCUGAAAUCAACAGUUUGCUAAACUGUCGUACGGGUUAAACUGUACCGAGGGUUCGAAUCCCUCUCUCACCG